This 253-nucleotide ribosomal RNA is filed under the name uncultured bacterium. Its description in RNAcentral is "partial 16S ribosomal RNA". It matches the Rfam family "Bacterial small subunit ribosomal RNA", at positions 524 to 776 of the family's 1533-position model. The record is from RNAcentral.
UACGUAGGGUGCGAGCGUUAAUCGGAAUUACUGGGCGUAAAGCGUGCGCAGGCGGUUUUGUAAGCCAGGUGUGAAAUCCCCGGGCUUAACCUGGGAAUGGCAUUUGGGACUGCAAGGCUGGAGUUUGGCAGAGGAGACUGGAAUUCCUGGUGUAGCAGUGAAAUGCGUAGAUAUCAGGAGGAAUACCGAUGGCGAAGGCAGGUCUCUGGGCUAUAACUGACGCUCAUGCACGAAAGCGUGGGGAGCAAACAGG